UGGGGAAUAUUGGACAAUGGGCGAAAGCCUGAUCCAGCCACGCCGCGUGAGUGAUGAAGGCCUUCGGGUCGUAAAGCUCUGUGGGGAGGGACGAACGUCCCCGUGAAGAACGGGGGGUGACGGUACCUCCUUAGCAAGCACCGGCUAACUUCGUGCCAGCAGCCGCGGUAAUACGAAGGGUGCAAACGUUGCUCGGAAUCAUUGGGCGUAAAGCGCACGUAGGCGGCAUUCUAAGUCGGAUGUGAAAUCCCUCGGCUCAACCGAGGACGUGCAUCCGAAACUGGAACGCUCGAGUAUGGAAGAGGGUCGCGGAAUUCUCGGUGUAGAGGUGAAAUUCGUAGAUAUCGGGAGGAACACCAGUGGCGAAGGCGGCGACCUGGGCCAAUACUGACGCUGAGGUGCGAAAGCGUGGGGAGCAAACAGG
This 424-nucleotide ribosomal RNA is filed under the name uncultured bacterium. Its description in RNAcentral is "bacterial SSU rRNA". It matches the Rfam family "Bacterial small subunit ribosomal RNA", at positions 355 to 776 of the family's 1533-position model. The record is from RNAcentral.